Molecule: ribosomal RNA, 507 nt
Filed under: uncultured Actinomycetes bacterium
Lineage: Bacteria; Bacillati; Actinomycetota; Actinomycetes
Description: bacterial SSU rRNA
Rfam family: Bacterial small subunit ribosomal RNA
Source: RNAcentral
CCUGAUGCAGCGACGCCGCGUGAGGGAUGACGGGCCUUACGGGUUGUAAACCUCUUUCAGUAGGGAAGAAGCGAAAGUGACGGUACCUGCAGAAGAAGCGCCGGCUAACUACGUGCCAGCAGCCGCGGUAAUACGUAGGGCGCAAGCGUUAUCCGGAAUUAUUGGGCGUAAAGAGCUCGUAGGCGGUUUGUCGCGUCUGCCGUGAAAGUCCGGGGGCUCAACUCCGGAUCUGCGGUGGGUACGGGCAGACUAGAGUGAUGUAGGGGAGACUGGAAUUCCUGGUGUAGCGGUGAAAUGCGCAGAUAUCAGGAGGAACACCGAUGGCGAAGGCAGGUCUCUGGGCAUUAACUGACGCUGAGGAGCGAAAGCAUGGGGAGCGAACAGGAUUAGAUACCCUGGUAGUCCAUGCCGUAAACGUUGGGCACUAGGUGUGGGGGACAUUCCACGUUUUCCGCGCCGUAGCUAACGCAUUAAGUGCCCCGCCUGGGGAGUACGGCCGCAAGGCUA